CUGAGUCAUGGCCCUCUGGGCACACACCCUCUUGACUCCUACCCCAAUUCCAUCUGCUGUACACAUCAGGAGGAUGGUCAUUCUGAUGGACAAAUAGGACCGUUACGCUGGGCCAGGGGGCCUUGAGUCAGGAGGGCCCAGCUUCAGGGAAAUGAAACCAAAUAUGCAAGAAGUCAUGACAAUUCCACCCCGGAGGAGGAGGUGUCAAGCUACCCUUGCAAAGCCCUGAACUUGGGGUCCCUCCUUCAAAGACAAAAUGCAUACUGCCCGCUAGCUGUCCUUAUCAAAUAGGGUAGUGCUUUCCAGAUCAAAGACAGUAGCACUCUGGCUAUAAUUAUUGAUGGUUUUGGUAGAGAGACAUGAAAAGUGAGUGGGCAAGAACAUAUUCUGAAUCCGGCAAGCUUCCCCAAAUUGCUGCCCUGAGAAGCUUCUUUGGAGGGGGAUCCAGGGCAGACAUCAGUUUCAGCCACUGUGAUGAUAAGAGAACUAAGGAGCUCAGUGAUCCAAAAGUGGUUACAAGUAAAAUAGAAGCUUAAUCUGGACUUGGAGAAAUCUGUGGAAAACCAGCCAUUUAAGUGGGAUUUCUGCAUCGAAUAAAAGAGGACUGAAAGCUGAAGCAGACCAAGGAAAGAAUAACAACUCUGUGUGCAUAGCUGGGUGGAAAUGGGUGAGUCUUUCUUAGAUCUGACCUCUUUUUGCUCCUGACAAGCAGCAGAGGACACGACAGAGGGCCUAAGGGGUCUUUACCCAGCAAGCUGGGAUGGCUGAUGGUAUGGAAACAAGUCUGCUCCGCAUCAGAACUGACUGCAGUGCUGGAAACAGCUUCUGCUUGGGGCUUGCUCCCUCCAGAUUAGGGGCUUGAAUGUGCUCGUGACAUGUGGAAGCCUCCUGUGUCUUCCUGCAUCUGAGGAAUGGCCAGGCAGAGAGAAGUGAGGAUCCUGGGCGAGCCCCUGCGUCCAGCUGCAUGUGUUCCUUUGGGGAGGGCGAGUCUGCUCGGCCUCCUCUCUCCUUGGUCUGCAGAAACAGCUGAGGGUACGGAGGCCGCUCUUCUCUUGAAGUCUUGGUUAUGUGAUGGUAUACCUACAAUCACACAGCUCCAAACGGUGGUGUUCCUUUUUAAAAAGGAAAAGGUCUGGGGAGCUCCCAGAUGCUUUUAAAUGAUCCCAUAGCCGAGCGGGUCGGUAUUAUCUGCGAUGAUUUAGAGCAUCUCAUGUUAUUUUACAACUCAGUUCAAAGCACGUGGGUCAGGUUGCUGGGUUAAAAGCGACAGGUCUGAGGCCAUUACUCCCUGUGAUGCCUGGGUCUACCCCUACAGCUAGGUACACUUGACCCUGUAAGAACAGACUGCAGCAUGUAGAUUUUAGAAGUUCUUUAAACCACAAAGAAGAAACCUAAGACCUGGCACAGGAACUUCAUUCUCCUACAGAAGCCUUAGAGACUCUGUUACUGCAGUUCUUAUUAAAGCCUCUUCACUUGA
Molecule: long non-coding RNA, 1477 nt
Organism: Neofelis nebulosa (Clouded leopard)
Lineage: Eukaryota; Metazoa; Chordata; Mammalia; Carnivora; Felidae
Exons: 2
Source: RefSeq, a predicted model, not a curated record